This 479-nucleotide long non-coding RNA is filed under the name Ananas comosus (pineapple). Its description in RNAcentral is "long non-coding RNA (ACOM_LNC020476)". Lineage: Eukaryota; Viridiplantae; Streptophyta; Magnoliopsida; Poales; Bromeliaceae. The record is from RNAcentral.
AAAAUUUUCAGAAUUAUUUAAAUUAAAUUUUACAAUUUAAUAGAUAUAUAACUAUAGAUAUAUCACUGAUAGAAAAAUGAGUAGUAUUGUGGUUGGUGAUGUGUCAAUUAUCAAUAUGUUAUAUUACUUUUACAUUAACAAUGCAAUACUUAAUAAACUAAGGCUUAGUUUGGUAUUGAGAUCUAUCUAACGCUAUUAGAAAAAAUAGAGUUGAGGAAAAAACAUAGAGGGAUAUAUUUCUGCGUUCUCCGGUGGAACUGUAAAAAAUAUAUUGUAACCGACUCAUCGCAAUAUGCGAAACGCAAUAUUACGUACGGAAACAAAAAAAGUAUUUUUCCAACGUGCUUUCUCACCGCACCAAUCACCCCGCAAUCCCAAACGAAGCCUAAAUAGGAUUAUAGGACUUGAUUAUGAUAAUUCUAACAUUAAAUUUCAGUUAGAAAUUAUGAUUAAUUAUAUUUUUUAGUUUAUUUUACGUG